UACGGGGGGGGCAAGCGUUGUUCGGAAUUACUGGGCGUAAAGGGCUCGUAGGCGGCCAACUAAGUCAGACGUGAAAUCCCUCGGCUUAACCGGGGAACUGCGUCUGAUACUGGAUGGCUUGAGUUUGGGAGAGGGAUGCGGAAUUCCCGGUGUAGCGGUGAAAUGCGCAGAUAUCGGGAGGAACACCAAUGGCGAAGGCGGGUCUCUGGACAGUUCCUGACGCUGAGGCACGAAGGCCAGGGGAGCAAACGGG
RNAcentral lists this ribosomal RNA (253 nucleotides) under uncultured bacterium. RNAcentral's name for it is "partial 16S ribosomal RNA". It matches the Rfam family "Bacterial small subunit ribosomal RNA", at positions 524 to 776 of the family's 1533-position model. The record is from RNAcentral.